GUGCCAGCAGCGGCGGUAAUACGUAGGGUGCAAGCGUUGUCCGGAAUUAUUGGGCGUAAAGAGCUCGUAGGCGGUCUGUCGCGUCGAAUGUGAAAACCCGAGGCUCAACCUCGGGCCUGCAUUCGAUACGGGCAGACUAGAGUUCGGUAGGGGAGUCUGGAAUUCCUGGUGUAGCGGUGAAAUGCGCAGAUAUCAGGAGGAACACCGGUGGCGAAGGCGGGACUCUGGGCCGAUAC
RNAcentral lists this ribosomal RNA (236 nucleotides) under uncultured Nakamurella sp. RNAcentral describes it as "partial 16S ribosomal RNA". It matches the Rfam family "Bacterial small subunit ribosomal RNA", at positions 505 to 740 of the family's 1533-position model. The record is from RNAcentral. Lineage: Bacteria; Bacillati; Actinomycetota; Actinomycetes; Nakamurellales; Nakamurellaceae.